GACGAACGCUGGCGGCGUGCUUAACACAUGCAAGUCGAACGGAAAGGCCCUGCUUUUGUGGGCUGCUCGAGUCGCGAACGCGUGAGUAACACGUGAGUACCCUCCCCUUGAUUUUGGGAUACCUUCAGGAAAUUGGGGCUAAUACGGGAUAGGAGCUCCUGCUGCAUAGUGGGGGUUGGAAAGUUUGGGCGGUUGGGGCAGGUCACGCGGCUUACCAGUUUGUUGGAGGGGUAGUGCCAUACCAAGCUUUUGACGGGUAGCCGGCCUGAGAGGGUGACCGGCCACAUUGGGAGUGAGAUACGGCCCAGACUCCUACGGGGGGCAGAGGUGGGGAAUAUUGCACAAUGGGCGGAAGCCUGAUGCAGCAACGCCGCGUGCGGGAUAAGGGCCUUCGGGUUGUAAACCGCUUUCGCCUGUGACGAAGCGUGAGUGACGGUAAUGGGUAAAGAAGCACCGGCUAACUACGUG
This 468-nucleotide ribosomal RNA is filed under the name uncultured bacterium. RNAcentral's name for it is "partial 16S ribosomal RNA". It matches the Rfam family "Bacterial small subunit ribosomal RNA", at positions 28 to 507 of the family's 1533-position model. The record is from RNAcentral.